Molecule: ribosomal RNA, 515 nt
Filed under: uncultured bacterium
Lineage: Bacteria
Description: bacterial SSU rRNA
Rfam family: Bacterial small subunit ribosomal RNA
Source: RNAcentral
AAUAGAUACCCCGGUAGUCCAUGCCGUAAACGAUGAACACUAGGUGUAGCGGAUUUAUUCACAUCUGCUGCGCCGUAGCUAACGCAUUAAGUGUUCCGCCUGGGGAGUACGGCCGCAAGGCUAAAACUCAAAGGAAUUGACGGGGCCCCGCACAAGCGGCGGAGCAUGCGGCUUAAUUCGAUGCAACCCGAAGAACCUUACCUGGGUUUGACAUCAUGGGUCUAGCUGUGGAAACACAGUGUGCUUACGCGCCCAUGACAGGUGGUGCAUGGCUGUCGUCAGCUCGUGUCGUGAGAUGUUGGGUUAAGUCCCGCAACGAGCGCAACCCUUGUCCUAUGUUGCCAGCACGUAACGGUGGGGACUCAUGGGAGACUGCCGGGGACAACUCGGAGGAAGGCGAGGACGAUGUCAAGUCAUCAUGCCCCUUAUAUCCAGGGCUGCACGCAUGCUACAAUGGGCGAUACAAUGGGCUGCGAUCCCGCGAGGGUCAGCCAAUCCCUUAAAGUCGUCCCCGU